CCCCUAGAUGUUCUGGGCCGCACGCGCGCUACACUGAACAGUUCAACAAGUCUUAACCUUGGCCGAUAGGUCUGGGUAAUCUUUGAACGCUGUUCGUGAUGGGGAUAGAUUAUUGCAAUUAUUAAUCUUCAACGAGGAAUUCCUAGUAAGCGCGAGUCAUCAGCUCGCGUUGAUUACGUCCCUGCCCUUUGUACACACCGCCCGUCGCUCCUACCGAUUGAAUGGUCCGGUGAAAUGUUCGGACCGCGACAAGGCGGACGGUUCGCUGUCAGCUUUGCUGCGGGAAGUUCAUUAAACCUUAUCAUUUAGAGGAAGGAGAAGUCGUANCA
RNAcentral lists this ribosomal RNA (329 nucleotides) under uncultured eukaryote. RNAcentral describes it as "partial 18S ribosomal RNA". It matches the Rfam family "Eukaryotic small subunit ribosomal RNA", at positions 1470 to 1796 of the family's 1831-position model. The record is from RNAcentral.